AGUUCCUGAUUCAUGGAGAUC
RNAcentral lists this microRNA (21 nucleotides) under Ananas comosus (pineapple). Its description in RNAcentral is "microRNA s0541_c68a". Lineage: Eukaryota; Viridiplantae; Streptophyta; Magnoliopsida; Poales; Bromeliaceae. The record is from RNAcentral.